RNAcentral lists this ribosomal RNA (460 nucleotides) under uncultured bacterium. RNAcentral's name for it is "partial 16S ribosomal RNA". It matches the Rfam family "Bacterial small subunit ribosomal RNA", at positions 338 to 795 of the family's 1533-position model. The record is from RNAcentral.
CCUACGGGAGGCAGCAGUGAGGAAUAUUGGUCAAUGGCCGCAGGGCUGAACCAGCCAAGUCGCGUUAGGGAUGACGGUCCUAUGGGUUGUAAACCUCUUUUGUCAGGGAGCAAAGGGCGCCACGUGUGGCGCUUUGCGAGUACCUGAAGAAAAAGCAUCGGCUAACUCCGUGCCAGCAGCCGCGGUAAUACGGAGGAUCCGAGCGUUAUCCGGAUUUAUUGGGUUUACCGGGAGCGUAGAUGGGUUGUUAAGUCAGUUGUGAAAGUUUGAGGCUCAACCGUAAAAUUGAAAUUGAUACUGGCAGCCUUGAGUACAGUAGAGGUAGGCGGAAUUCGUGGUGUAGCGGUGAAAUGCUUAGAUAGCACGAAGAACUCCGAUUGCGAAGGCAGCCUACUAAACUGCCACUGACAUUGAUGCUCGAAAGUGUGGGUAUCAAACAGGAUUAGAUACCCCAGUAGUC